Molecule: ribosomal RNA, 501 nt
Filed under: uncultured bacterium
Lineage: Bacteria
Description: bacterial SSU rRNA
Rfam family: Bacterial small subunit ribosomal RNA
Source: RNAcentral
GACGAACGCUGGCGGCGUGCCUAAUACAUGCAAGUCGAGCGAGCGGAACCAACAGAUUUACUUCGGUAAUGACGUUGGGAAAGCGAGCGGCGGAUGGGUGAGUAACACGUGGGGAACCUGCCCCUAAGUCUGGGAUACCAUUUGGAAACAGGUGCUAAUACCGGAUAAUAAAGCAGAUCGCAUGAUCAGCUUUUGAAAGGCGGCGUAAGCUGUCGCUAAGGGAUGGCCCCGCGGUGCAUUAGCUAGUUGGUAAGGUAACGGCUUACCAAGGCGACGAUGCAUAGCCGAGUUGAGAGACUGAUCGGCCACAUUGGGACUGAGACACGGCCCAAAACUCCUACGGGAGGCAGCAGUAGGGAAUCUUCCACAAUGGACGCAAGUCUGAUGGAGCAACGCCGCGUGAGUGAAGAAGGUUUCGGAUCGUAAAGCUCUGUUGUUGGUGAAGAAGGAUAGAGGUAGUAACUGGCCUUUAUUUGACGGUAAUCAACCAGAAAGUCACGG